Molecule: ribosomal RNA, 380 nt
Filed under: uncultured eukaryote
Lineage: Eukaryota
Description: partial 18S ribosomal RNA
Rfam family: Eukaryotic small subunit ribosomal RNA
Source: RNAcentral
CAAUAGCGUAUAUUAAAGUUGUUGCGGUUAAAAAGCUCGUAGUUGGAUUUCUGUUGAGAGCAGCCGGUCUGCACUUGGUGCAUGUAUCUGGUUUGAUCUCGGCAUCCUCUCAAAAUACGUUUCUGCGCUUGAUUGCGUGGAGCGGAGUUUGGGACUUUUACUUUGAGGAAAUUAGAGUGUUCACGGCAGGCAAUCGCCUUGAAUAUAUUAGCAUGGAAUAAUAAUAUAGGAUCUUGGUUCUAUUUUGUUGGUUUCUAGAGCUAAGAUAAUGAUUAAUAGGGACAAUUGGGGGCAUUCGUAUUAACGCGUCAGAGGUGGAAUUCUUGGAUUGCGUUACGACGAACUACUGCGAAAGCAUUUGCCAAGGAUGUUUUCAUUGA